GACGAACGCUGGCGGCGUGCUUAACACAUGCAAGUCGAACGGAAAGGCCCUGCUUUUGUGGGGUGCUCGAGUGGCGAACGGGUGAGUAACACGUGAGUAACCUGCCCUUGACUUUGGGAUAACUUCAGGAAACUGGGGCUAAUACCGGAUAGGAGCUCCUGCUGCAUGGUGGGGGUUGGAAAGUUUCGGCGGUUGGGGAUGGACUCGCGGCUUAUCAGCUUGUUGGUGGGGUAGUGGCUUACCAAGGCAUUGACGGGUAGCCGGCCUGAGAGCGUGACCGGCCACAUUGGGACUGAGAGACGGCCCAGACGCCUACGGGAGGCAGCAGUGGGGAAUAUUGCACAAUGGGCGGAAGCCUGAUGCAGCAACGCCGCGUGCGGGAUGACGGCCUUCGGGUUGUAAACCGCUUUCGCCUGUGACGAAGCGUGAGUGACGGUAAUGGGUAAAGAAGCACCGGCUAACUACGUG
Molecule: ribosomal RNA, 468 nt
Filed under: uncultured bacterium
Lineage: Bacteria
Description: partial 16S ribosomal RNA
Rfam family: Bacterial small subunit ribosomal RNA
Source: RNAcentral